This 176-nucleotide small nuclear RNA is filed under the name Merluccius merluccius (European hake). RNAcentral describes it as "partial U2 snRNA". It matches the Rfam family "U2 spliceosomal RNA". From Rfam's summary of the family: U2 is a small nuclear RNA (snRNA) component of the spliceosome (involved in pre-mRNA splicing). Complementary binding between U2 snRNA (in an area lying towards the 5' end but 3' to hairpin I) and the branchpoint sequence (BPS) of the intron results the bulging out of an unpaired adenosine, on the BPS, which initiates a nucleophilic attack at the intronic 5' splice site, thus starting the first of two transesterification reactions that mediate splicing. Lineage: Eukaryota; Metazoa; Chordata; Actinopteri; Gadiformes; Merlucciidae. The record is from RNAcentral.
AUCGCUUCUCGGCCUUAUGGCUAAGAUCAAGUGUAGUAUCUGUUCUUAUCAGUUUAAUAUCUGAUACGUCCCCUAUAUGGGGACUACAUAUUAAACGUCUUUUGGCAAUAGGCAUCGUUGAAGGAGCUUGCUCCAUGCGAUCCACGCAUUGACCCGGUAUUGCAGUACCGCCGGGA